Molecule: ribosomal RNA, 297 nt
Filed under: Triticum aestivum (bread wheat)
Lineage: Eukaryota; Viridiplantae; Streptophyta; Magnoliopsida; Poales; Poaceae
Description: partial small subunit ribosomal RNA
Source: RNAcentral
GAGUUCGCCAAGGACAGCGUCCGCCUCGUCAAGCACUGCGAUAAGCCUUACCGCAAGGAGAUCACCAAGGUGCCGGCGCAGACGACGAUCGGGUUCGUCGUCAUGGGAUUCGCUGGCUUCUUCGUCAAACUCAUCUUCAUCCCCAUCAACAACAUCAUCAUCGAGCAUAGCUUCUCUGAUCUCGUUCGCGUCUCUGAUCUCGUCCACGACCGCGACCGCGACGGAAGCCUCCUCUGCUCGCCGGUACGGAUUCCCCCACCCCUUCCUCCAGCCCUGGCCGGCCGGCCGAGGUUCUGA